This 305-nucleotide ribosomal RNA is filed under the name uncultured bacterium. RNAcentral's name for it is "bacterial SSU rRNA". It matches the Rfam family "Bacterial small subunit ribosomal RNA", at positions 333 to 634 of the family's 1533-position model. The record is from RNAcentral.
AUCGUUCUACGGGAGGCAGCAGUGAGGAAUAUUGGUCAAUGGACGCAAGUCUGAACCAGCCACGUAGCGUGCAGGAUGACGGCCCUCCGGGUUGUAAACUGCUUUUAGUUGGGAAUAAAAGGGGGCUCGUGAGCCCCGUAUUGUAUGUACCAUCAGAAAAAGGACCGGCUAAUUCCGUGCCAGCAGCCGCGGUAAUACGGAAGGUCCGGGCGUUAUCCGGAUUUAUUGGGUUUAAAGGGAGCGUAGGCCGGCUUUUAAGUCAGCUGUGAAAGUCCGCGGCUCAACCGUGGAAUUGCAGUUGAACU